GCCCUUCAGGUAUUGGAGGCAUUGCCUGCCAGUGACAACUGUUUAACGGCCGCGGUAUCCUGACCGUGCAAAGGUAGCAUAAUCAUUUGUUCUCUAAAUAAGGACUUGUAUGAAUGGCCGCACGAGGGUUUUACUGUCUCUUACUUCCAAUCAGUGAAAUUGACCUUCCCGUGAAGAGGCGGGAAUGCACAAAUAAGACGAGAAGACCCUAUGGAGCUUUAACUAACCAACCCAAAGAGAAUAGAUUUAACCAUUAAGGAAUAACAACAAUCUCCAUGAGUUGGUAGUUUCGGUUGGGGUGACCUCGGAGAAUAAAAAAUCCUCCGAGCGAUUUUAAAGACUAGACCCACAAGUCAAAUCACUCUAUCGCUCAUUGAUCCAAAAACUUGAUCAACGGAACAAGUUACCCUAGGGAUAACAGCGCAAUCCUAUUCAAGAGUCCAUAUCGACAAUAGGGUUUACGACCUCGAUGUUGGAUCAGGACAUCCUGAUGGUGCAACCGCUAUCAAAGGUUCGUUUGUUCAACGAUUAAAGUCCUACGUGAUCUGAGUUCAGACCGGA
Molecule: ribosomal RNA, 561 nt
Filed under: Phascolosoma esculenta
Lineage: Eukaryota; Metazoa; Annelida; Sipuncula; Phascolosomatiformes; Phascolosomatidae
Description: partial 16S ribosomal RNA
Rfam family: Bacterial large subunit ribosomal RNA
Source: RNAcentral